Molecule: small RNA, 161 nt
Filed under: uncultured Eubacterium sp.
Lineage: Bacteria; Bacillati; Bacillota; Clostridia; Eubacteriales; Eubacteriaceae
Description: Clostridiales-1 RNA
Rfam family: Clostridiales-1 RNA
Source: RNAcentral
ACAUAAGUGUCAAAAGUCAAAUGCGCUUCUGCUUGCAGAAAAAGCAUAUUGACCUUAUGACACGCUGAAACAUGAGGAAGUAGCUGUUUUUAUAGAAAACAAGCGGAUUCCGAAUGUUUCAAGGAUUGUGAUAGUUUCGUAAGAAACGGAACAAUCCGUAU